UACGUAGGUGUCAAGCGUUGUCCGGAAUUAUUGGGCGUAAAGCGCGCGCAUGCGGUCCUUUAAGUCUGAUGUGAAAGCCCACGGCUCAACCGUGGAGGGUCAUUGGAAACUGGGGGACUUGAGUGCAGGAGAGAAGAGUGGAAUUCCACGUGUAGCGGUGAAAUGCGUAGAGAUCAGGCAGAACACCUGGGGCGAAGGCGGCCAGCUGGGCCGUCCCUGACGCUGAGGCGCGAAGGCGUGGGGAGCGAACGGG
RNAcentral lists this ribosomal RNA (253 nucleotides) under uncultured bacterium. Its description in RNAcentral is "partial 16S ribosomal RNA". It matches the Rfam family "Bacterial small subunit ribosomal RNA", at positions 524 to 776 of the family's 1533-position model. The record is from RNAcentral.